RNAcentral lists this long non-coding RNA (248 nucleotides) under Chinchilla lanigera (long-tailed chinchilla). Its description in RNAcentral is "lncRNA (ENSCLAG00000022840.1)". The record is from RNAcentral. Lineage: Eukaryota; Metazoa; Chordata; Mammalia; Rodentia; Chinchillidae.
GUGACAUUCUUCAGGCUGUGUCUCACCAACUUUCUUGGGAAGAGUUAGAAGCAGACCUGGCUCUGCAAAGCGGAUUGGAAGGAAGCCCAAAGGCAUCCGUCAGUUCCUGAGUGCCAGGCUUCACUGUUGGAGUUUGGUUCUGCAGCUGGUUGACAUCUCGCCAGACCUUCAAAAUUUGAAGAUAGAGGAGAGGGAGUGGAAAGCAGGAACUCUACAGUGUUCUGGCCUCCGAGUAGGGUGUAGUAAAA